This 484-nucleotide ribosomal RNA is filed under the name uncultured bacterium. RNAcentral describes it as "partial 16S ribosomal RNA". It matches the Rfam family "Bacterial small subunit ribosomal RNA", at positions 30 to 507 of the family's 1533-position model. The record is from RNAcentral.
AUUGAACGCUGGCGGCAGGCCUAACACAUGCAAGUCGAGCGGAUGAAGGGAGCUUGCGCCUGGAUUCAGCGGCGGACGGGUGAGUAAUGCCUAGGAAUCUGCCUGGUAGUGGGGGAUAACGUCCGGACACGGGCGCUAAUACCGCAUACGUCCUGAGGGAGAAAGUGGGGGAUCUUCGGACCUCACGCUAUCAGAUGAGCCUAGGUCGGAUUAGCUAGUUGGUGGGGUAAAGGCCUACCAAGGCGACGAUCCGUAACUGGUCUGAGAGGAUGAUCAGUCACACUGGAACUGAGACACGGUCCAGACUCCUACGGGAGGCAGCAGUAGGGAAUAUUGGACAAUGGGCGAAAGCCUGAUCCAGCAAUGCCGCGUGUGUGAAGAAGGUCUUCGGAUUGUAAAGCACUUUAAGUUGGGAGGAAGGGCAGUAAGUUAAUCCCUUGCUGUUUUGACGUUACCAACAGAAUAAGCACCGGCUAACUUCGUG